This 2416-nucleotide long non-coding RNA is filed under the name Felis catus (domestic cat). Its description in RNAcentral is "lncRNA (ENSFCAG00000049633.1)". The record is from RNAcentral. Lineage: Eukaryota; Metazoa; Chordata; Mammalia; Carnivora; Felidae.
GAAAUAGUUAAAGGCCCUGCCUAGUUCAUGGUGGUGUUUGAAAGCUUAUUGAGGACAUAUGAACACUUGGAAGUGAGGUUGCAAUAUCAAGAGAAUUAAGUGCACCCAUCUGCACGUAAAGGUACUGGGGAGGCUGUUGCCUACGUUAGAGACCCCCUGAACUAUGGCCGUGAGAUCUGCUCCAAUUAUAAGUUACAGUUCCUUGAAAAUCCUCUCCUUUCCCUGCAGGUGGCUUCACAAACACUUCCAGCAGGUCCUGGCUCUAGAAUUUGCUGUGGAGGUUAUCAACUGGGGCCCUGAUCUUUGCCCAGCAAUGCCUACCACAGUGAUGAGAAGACUCUGGAAAGCUUUGUGAGGUGGCGGUUUGGAAGGGAUGGGACGUCAGAUUACAGACGUCAGAGGCAGACCAUGAGUCUGGAUCUGUUACUGUAGGUGCCAUCUUGCCCCCUCUGUCCAGAUGGGGCACUUCUUGAGCUCUACAAGUUUCCCCAGAUCAACUAUGGCCCCUUCGAUCUCACUUUGAGUGACAAAGUCCAGUACCUAUCCCCUUAUCCGAUGGCCCCCAAAGAUGACUCCUUGCCCCAGGCCAUGGGACAACUGAUGCUACAUUUUGGAUGGACCUGGGUGGGACUUGCUGCUUCAGAUUAUAUGUGAGCUGAAUUGUUUCCCUGACUGGAGAGGAGAAAUGGUCAAGAAAGGGAUCUGUGUUGCCUUUUCAGAGACUAUCUCUCUCAGUGAGAAAUACCACAAGGAAGCCUUUGAUAAUCCAUUGAUCAGAGUAGCAUAACCAACAGCUACAGUGGUUGUCAUUCAUAGAGAUACAGAUUCCCUGGUGACCAUGAGACCUCCACGGCCCAGGAUGCAAGAAUAGCAAAGGUGUGGAUCAUCUCCCCUUACUGGGAUGUUAUUCUGAGGCCCAUGUUUCAGAAUGGUUAUGGUUUUUAUGGGUCUGUGAUAUUUUCUCAUCAAAGAAGAGAUCAUCCUGAAUUUGGGACAUUCCUCAGGAGAGUCCAAUCUUCUACAUACCCAGGGAACAUUUUUCAUAAGAGUUUCUGGCACUCAGCUUUUGAGUGCUCAGAGGUUGGUGGUACCACUGGAACAAUACAAAUGAUCCCAGAAUGCUUUUUGGACAUGCUUCCCCUACAGUAUUUUGAAGUGACCAUGUCUGCACAUAGUUACAUUGUCUACAGUGCUGUGCAUGCUGUGGCCUGGGCUCUGCCUGGCAUGUUCCUGAUCAGAUCAGAAGCAGGAUCAAUAGAAGGCAGAGCCCCUGUGGUGUCUAAUCUCUGGAAGAUAAGAUUUCCUCUGAAAGGAAAUGCUUCACUCCGUGUCCACUUGACAGCUUCAGGUCAGGCUGAAUUUCCUCCUGAUAUCUUGGUUGCAGCUACACAUCUCUCAAUCCCUGAAUUUUUUUGAGCACAAUUUUGCUGUGAGGCCUUUGUUCCUCCUGGGUGGGGUGCUCAUGGCCCAUCGCCCACCAGUGCCAUUCAUCCAGCUGGUCCUUCCUGUCACCAGAUUCAUCACCUGAUGCCUCCUCACACGUAAGUACUGGUAUUCUGUCUUCCACCUGCCCCAAUGCCUGGGACAGUUCAACUUAACUUCCUGGCCAGCUCUAGCUCUGUCCCUGGUCUAUAAACUCAGCAAAAUCAUCCAUCCUGGCUGUAAGGGAAUUCAGCUUUCGAAAAGCUUCCCAGGCCUGACUCAACCAUGGAAUCAGCUGGAAGGCAUUUGAAAGGUCAGUCCCUGUGGUUACAGCUUAAUCAUCCUGGGCUGGGUCCGGGCGCGGAGAGCUGUCUGGGAGAUUGUCAAGGCACCACCUGGGCUGAGAUCUGCUGCCCACCCCGCCCCCCCCCCCCCCCCCCUCCCCGAGGAACAUGGUGCACUCGGCCAUGAGCUGCACCUGAGAGCAGGGCGUCUGUGGUCCUUCCCACCUCCUGGUGUACCAGCGAGGGGAGAGACUCUAGUAAGGUCUCAGGUGGUUCUCAUGCACAAGGGGGCGGAGUAGCUCCUCUUAAAAAGGGUUGGAUGGGCGGGUGCUUUGCUUUUCGUCUGAAGAGGGGGUGGGUAGUUCUCGGAAGCUCUCUGGGGCUGAAGACUCGGGCCUGAUCUAAGGGGUUUUUCUGAAGUUUCAGACUUUCAGAAGGGGUUUCUGGCUUUCCAAAGAACUGAUUUCACACAACUUUAGGGCUGCUUUUCUUUCCAAGGAUAAAGAAGCACAGGUGUUGAAUCUUAAAUCUUUUCAGCCUUAGGGAAAAUCUAACUUAAGGAAAAUUGUUUCACCCUUUCAUUACAAAAUGUUGAGUUAUGAAAGUCUUUGGAUGAAUUUCUUGAAACAGGGAAAAUGCUGGGAGGAAAAGUAGUUGAGGUUAACAAGAGAGUAAGGUAGUCUUGAGUGCUGGCGUGUAGGGAAAGGCUU